AUUGAACGCUGGCGGCAGGCCUAACACAUGCAAGUCGAAAGAGUGGCGGACGGGUGAGUAAUGUCUGGGAAACGGACUGAUGGAGGGGGAUAACUACUGGAAACGGUAGCUAAUACCGCAUACCAUAAGAUAUGCACAGAUGGGAGUAGCUAGUUGGGGGGGUAACGGCGCACCAAGGCGACGAUCCAUAGCGGGUCUGAGAGGAUGAACAGCCACACUUGAACUGAGACACGGUCCAGAUUCCUACGGGAGGCAGCAGUGGGGAAUAUUGCACAAUGGGCGCAAGCCUGAUGCAGCCCUGCCGCGUGUAUGAAGAAGGCCUUCGGGUUGUACAGUACUUUCAGCGGGGAGGCGUUACCCGCAGAAGAAGCCCCGGCUAACUCCGUGCCAGCAGCCGCGGUAAUAC
This 406-nucleotide ribosomal RNA is filed under the name uncultured bacterium. RNAcentral describes it as "partial 16S ribosomal RNA". It matches the Rfam family "Bacterial small subunit ribosomal RNA", at positions 30 to 526 of the family's 1533-position model. The record is from RNAcentral.